This is a long non-coding RNA of Eriocheir sinensis (Chinese mitten crab), 920 nucleotides long. RefSeq lists it as uncharacterized. The record is from RefSeq and is a predicted model, not a curated record. Lineage: Eukaryota; Metazoa; Arthropoda; Malacostraca; Decapoda; Varunidae. The transcript has 3 exons.
GGAGCACUGUAACGCUCACAGCCGACUAUUUCCUCAAUUUUACCGGGAAUGGCGUGGAGGUAAGACGCUGGUGUUCUCCCUCUGCUCCGUGGUACAAGUUCCGUCUCCUUCGUUCCCGCCGCAUUACUCGAGAGGGUUGUUCGUCCUGUCCACGGAGCUCCAUCACGGUAGAGGCUGCGGCACUCCUCUCGCCGGGCAGGUUGUUUCAUCUGUGCCUCGACCCUUCCAGCUUCCUCUCCUCGAAGACAGACCGCUCCUGAAGGUUGCCCACCAGCCGAGUUGUCCCUAGACCCUGUGGCAAGAGUGGUGGAGUGCUGCCAUGCCGCCCGUAAACCACAGCUUGUUGGAGGGUUGGAAGGUCAUGGUGUGCUCCGCCAGGCAGGACACCUGAAAUAUGAAGCAGCUGGAUCAAGAUUAUGGACAGUCAAGCUCCUUGAGGAACCUGUAUCAACCGGUGGCUGAGUGGUUAGCGUGCUGGGCUCUCAUUCAUCACGCCAUGAAGAACAUCGGUUCGAAUUCCCACGCUACCACCUGGGAUUUUUCUGUCACUGCCGACUGGCCCAAGACUACCCACAUGCUGUCCAGAAGACCACCCAUCAACCCGGACUCUAGAAGAAACCAUCCAGUGAAUCAAGAAUGAGUUCCAGGGGACAGCAUGAGCCAAGCGUAACUAGCGCCACUAUAAAAAAUUCAUUGUCCCACGACGGGCUUGGGGGAAACAUCUGGCUCCUGACGAAAGCCUAUCGGUGCUAUAGGCGGGGAGGGAACAAGAUUACGGACAGUCGAGCUCCCUGAAGAACCUAUUUCGACCAGAAGGACACACACUGGAGAGCUACUUUUCAAAUUCUGUUGUUGCAAGUUCUUCUGUACUGUCUCCGAGAUAUUUUGAAGAUUGAUCAAUAAACAUCUUGGCAAGAACA